CCUACGGGUGGCAGCAGUGGGGAAUAUUGCACAAUGGGGGAAACCCUGAUGCAGCGACGCCGCGUGAAUGAAGAAGUCAUUCGGUAUGUAAAGCUCUAUCAGCAGGGAAGAAAAUGACGAUACCUGAGUAAGAAGCCCCGGCUAACUACAUGCCAGCAGCCGCGGUAAUACGUAGGUUGCAGGCGUUAUCCGGAUGUACUGGGUGUAAAGGGUGCGUAGACGGCACUGCAAGUGUGGAGUGAAAGGCAGGGGCUCAACCCCCGAACUGCUAGUGAAACUGUACGGCUGGAGUGCAGGAGAGGUAGGUGGAAUUCAUAGUGUAGCGGUGAAAUGCUUAGAGAUUA
Molecule: ribosomal RNA, 344 nt
Filed under: uncultured bacterium
Lineage: Bacteria
Description: partial 16S ribosomal RNA
Rfam family: Bacterial small subunit ribosomal RNA
Source: RNAcentral